Molecule: long non-coding RNA, 1262 nt
Organism: Oncorhynchus tshawytscha (Chinook salmon)
Lineage: Eukaryota; Metazoa; Chordata; Actinopteri; Salmoniformes; Salmonidae
Source: Ensembl
UAGGUAUGGGGAGUGGGGAGGGGAGGGUAGGGGAGUAGGGUGUAGGUGUUUGGAGUGGGAGUGGAGGGUAGGGUAGGGUAGGUAAUAGGUAUGGGGAGUGGAGGGUAGGAUAGGUAUGGGGAGUGGGAGUGGAGGGUAGUGUAGGUGUGGAGUGGGAGUGGAGGGGGUAGGUAAUAGGUAUGGGGAGUGGAGGGAAGAGCCUCUCAGACCAAAGCCUCAUAGAACUUAGCUGGAUACACAGGCUGCGUGAAGGAGAUCACUACUCAACCAUGCGUGUCCAGCAUCAUAUAUCUUAAGAAUUACUACUUACUUACAACAAACUCAUACUCACACAUAUACACACUCACUCAUACACACACGAAUUAGGGUCUCAUUAGCAUAACACACUGAGACUAAUUAAAGCACCCAUCAACACUGCCCUAAUUAGCUCUCCCACGUCAUUACUGAGCAAACGAAUUACCGCUAAUUUAAACACCCGCAAAACAAACACAGCACCGUCUCCGUUGGGAAAGACAGCCGUGCGCCUUGCACACUAAAUUAAAGCCCUGCACGGUGCGCUGCAGCCCCAACCAACCAGGCCCCUGGUGGAGCCCGCUAUUCAUCGGUCUGACAACACAAGAUUUAUAAAAGAUUAAAGUGGAGAGAGCACUGAGAGAGUUUUAUCAAGUGGGCUGAGUUGUGAGGACUAGGACUAUCCAGAGUCAUGUCUCUGGGCCUCUUUAUGUUUAAUAUGCUUUCGCUGCGACUUCAGGGCUUAGUUGGCCAUUGGACGGACUGACUGACUGACUGUAGCCUGUAGGCCUAUGUGUUACCUCUAGAGGGAGUGAGAGUAUAGUGGCUCAACCACUGAGGGACCCUAACACUGACCAGCCCCAUACAGGAUCCUUAGAUUGACAGGUCAUUAACUACUUUAUCAACCAUAGCAUCAGGCCAAGUGUUCAUAGACUCCUUAUAGCAAUGUAUUUUUUCUAAAGAAGAUACAGUACAUUAUUGACGGCCUACACUUUAUAUAGACCGCUGUACUUAGGUAUGAAAGUGAAAGAACUCAAAUGUUUUGCCAUUGGUUUCAUGUUGGUCAAAAGUGAAAAUAUUGAAGUUUGCACACGUCAUUAGUUGAAAUUGUAAAGGCAGAGGGAAACCCUGUGGCUUUGUUAAGUAGGACAUGGUUGAUUUGUAGUAGCUUGGUUUACAGUAGAGCAAAAAACAUUUAACUUUAGAACUAGCUCCACUGUAUGCUCCAUCGAAGUGCAUGUGUGAUUCUA